ACACGUGGGUAACCUGCCUUAUAGUGGGGGAUAGCCUUUCGAAAGGAAGAUUAAUACCGCAUAAGAUUGUAGUAUCGCAUGAUAUAGCAAUUAAAGGAGCAAUUCGCUAUAAGAUGGACCCGCGUCGCAUUAGCUAGUUGGUGAGGUAAUGGCUCACCAAGGCGACGAUGCGUAGCCGACCUGAGAGGGUGAUCGGCCACAUUGGGACUGAGACACGGCCAGACUCCUACGGGAGGCAGCAUG
Molecule: ribosomal RNA, 243 nt
Filed under: uncultured bacterium
Lineage: Bacteria
Description: partial 16S ribosomal RNA
Rfam family: Bacterial small subunit ribosomal RNA
Source: RNAcentral